CCGACCUUAGCUCAGUUGGUAGAGCGGAGGACUGUAGUCGUACAAAGCUGUCAUCCUUAGGUCGCUGGUUCGAAUAGGCAGGUCGGA
This 87-nucleotide transfer RNA is filed under the name Jatropha curcas. It matches the Rfam family "tRNA". From Rfam's summary of the family: Transfer RNA (tRNA) molecules are approximately 80 nucleotides in length. Their secondary structure includes four short double-helical elements and three loops (D, anti-codon, and T loops). Lineage: Eukaryota; Viridiplantae; Streptophyta; Magnoliopsida; Malpighiales; Euphorbiaceae. The record is from Rfam by way of RNAcentral.